AACGGCCAUAGCAUGUUGAAUAUACCGGUUCUCGUUAGAUCACCGAAGUCAAGCAUCAUUGGGCGCGGUCUGUACUUGGGUGGGUGACCACCUGGGAACACCGCGUGCCGUU
RNAcentral lists this ribosomal RNA (112 nucleotides) under Caerostris darwini. Lineage: Eukaryota; Metazoa; Arthropoda; Arachnida; Araneae; Araneidae. The record is from RNAcentral.